GAUGAAGAACGCAGCGAAAUGCGAUACGUAAUGUGAAUUGCAGAAUUCAGUGAAUCAUCGAAUCUUUGAACGCACAUUGCGCCCGCCAGUAUUCUGGCGGGCAUGCCUGUCCGAGCGUCAUUUCAACCCUCGAACCCCUCCGGGGGGUCGGCGUUGGGGAUCGGCCCUUUACCGGCCGGCCCCGAAAUACAGUGGCGGUCUCGCCGCAGCCUCUCCUGCGCAGUAGUUUGCACACUCGCACCGGGAGCGCGGCGCAGUCCAAUGCCGUAAAACACCCAACUUUCUGAAAUGUUGACCUCGGAUCAGGUAGGAAUACCCGCUGAACUUAAGCAUAUCAAUAAGCGGAGGA
RNAcentral lists this unclassified non-coding RNA (349 nucleotides) under soil metagenome. RNAcentral's name for it is "partial contains 5.8S ribosomal RNA, internal transcribed spacer 2, and large subunit ribosomal RNA". The stretch from base 1 to 120 matches the Rfam family "5.8S ribosomal RNA", at positions 35 to 154 of the family's 154-position model. The record is from RNAcentral.